This 1219-nucleotide long non-coding RNA is filed under the name Marmota monax (woodchuck). Lineage: Eukaryota; Metazoa; Chordata; Mammalia; Rodentia; Sciuridae. The record is from RNAcentral.
GUUUUUGUUUAUUUUUUUAGGUGUAGAUGGACACAACACAAUGCCUUUAUUUUUUUAUGUGGUGCUGAGGAUAGAACCUGAGUCCUGCCUGUGUAGGGCGAGUACUCUACCGCUGAGCCACAAUCCCAGCCCUGGACAUGAAUGUUUGUAGCAGCUUUACUCAUAAUAGUGUUGAACUGGAAGCAACCUGGAUAUCUUUCAAUGACUGAACAGUUGGGUUCAGUGCAAUGUGUCCAGGCCAUGAACUUCUACUCAGAAGAGAAAGGGACAAACUGCUGGUAUCCUCAACACUUGGAUGAAUCUCCAGAGAAUUAUGUCCAGUGAAAAAGCCAACUCCAACUGGUACACACAGUAUGAUUCCGUUUAUAAAACUGUCUGGAAAUGAUAAAAUUACAAAAAUGGAGAACAGUCUCAUAAUUGCCAAGGGUUAGGUCUGGGGAGAGGAGAUCGCGGGGGAAGGCAUGGCAUUCUGGAUAGAAUACCACACAACUUGCCCACUGUUUCCAGAAGCCAAUCUCUCAGCCUCCUGCCAUGAUGUUAAAGGAUUUCUCUGAAGAAACUGACUAAGCCAAGGACAAAGACCCACAGAUAAUGUCAUCUGGGAGACCUGUAAUGGCUUAAAUGUCCGCCCAAAGCUCUGUGUGCUAAAGGUUUGAUCACCAGCCUGUGGUGUUCUGGGAAGAAGUAGAAUAUUUAGGAGAUAGGGCCUAGUGGGAAGUUAGGUCACGUGGGUCACGUCCUUGAAAGGGACAUUGUGACUUUGGCCCCUUUCUCUUUCUUUUUGCUUCCUGGCUGCCAUGAGGUGAACAGACCCUCUCCAUCACAGACUCCUGCCAUGAUAUAUUGUGCUGCCACAGGCGCAAAGUGACAGGGCCAAGCCACCAUGGACUGAGAUCUCUGAAACCAUGAGCUAAAAUAAAUACUUCCUCUUUAAAGUUGAUUAUCUCAGGAUUUUGGUCACCAUGACAUAAAGCUGAUUAACACACUUCCAGAUAAACCAUCACUCUCCAGGGAGGCCCACAGUCAACAAACCGGUACCACACUAAGAAAGCUCUUCCAGUUGGGCUCGCAAGUGCUUCACUCUCCAAUAUGAACAGUCAGAAAAGGGUCAGCAGGUCUUUGAGGAACGUUUCUACCUGACAGUUAUAUAAUGGGUGAAAGCCAAGAAGGAAGAGAUGCAAUGUGGGGAGAAAUUAAAGAAAAAGAAAAAGCAUGUAAU